GAACGAACGCUGGCGGCAGGCUUAACACAUGCAAGUCGAACGCACCGCAAGGUGAGUGGCAGACGGGUGAGUAACGCGUGGGAAUCUACCUAGCUCUUCGGGAUAGCUCCGGGAAACUGGAAUUAAUACCGAGUACGCCCUACGGGGGAAAGAUUUAUCGGAGUUAGAUGAGCCCGCGUUGGAUUAGCUAGUUGGUGGGGUAAUGGCCUACCAAGGCGACGAUCCAUAGCUGGUCUGAGAGGAUGAUCAGCCACACUGGACUGAGAC
RNAcentral lists this ribosomal RNA (267 nucleotides) under uncultured soil bacterium. Its description in RNAcentral is "partial 16S ribosomal RNA". It matches the Rfam family "Bacterial small subunit ribosomal RNA", at positions 27 to 325 of the family's 1533-position model. The record is from RNAcentral.